CAGCAAUAUAUAUCAUACUGAUGCCAUGGAAUUUCAAAGUGAUUGUUGCGAAAAGGAUGUUGCAGCUUUGAAAAACACUAACUUUUGACCAGGUUGUGAAACUGAUGAGGCAAGGACUUGUAUCUCUCUCUCUCCUGCUUUCUCAAUGAAACCCCCCCCCACACACACACACACACACACACACAAACUGGUUUAAGUCAGCUCCCCAUCCCUGGUCUGUCCUCGGUAAGGGCCUGUCCCCUAGUCUGUCCACAGUAAGGUCUUCUCCCCAGGUCUGUCCAAAGUAAGGUCCUGUCCCCUAGUCUUUUUUUUUUUUUUACCUUUAUUUUACUAGGCAAGUCAGUUAAGAACAAAUUCUUAUUUUCAAUGACGGCCUAGGAACAAUGGGUUAACUGCCUGUUCAAGGGCAGCACGACAGAUUUGUACCUUGUCAGCUCGGGGGUUUCAACUUGCAACCUUCCAGUUACUAGUCCAACGCUCUAACCACUAGGCUACCCUGGCCAUAGUAAGGUCCUGUCCCCAGGUCUGUCCAUAGUAAGGUCUUCUCCCAAGGUCUGUCCAUAGUAAGACCCUGUCCCCUGGUAUGUCCAUAGUAAG
This is a long non-coding RNA of Oncorhynchus tshawytscha (Chinook salmon), 597 nucleotides long. The record is from Ensembl. Lineage: Eukaryota; Metazoa; Chordata; Actinopteri; Salmoniformes; Salmonidae.